This 789-nucleotide long non-coding RNA is filed under the name Cimex lectularius (bed bug). Its description in RNAcentral is "uncharacterized LOC106670546, transcript variant X2". The record is from RNAcentral. Lineage: Eukaryota; Metazoa; Arthropoda; Insecta; Hemiptera; Cimicidae.
GUGUUUUAAGUUGGUUUAAUUAAGAAUUUAUGUAGUAUUUUUAAGAAUAAAUUUCAAGCAAUUUUCAAUUUUAGUUUAGGGCGGUUCUGGAUGUUUCCAGGGCAACAAUUAAACAGCACAAAUAGCACAUGAGUAAUAAUCAAAUGUUUCCAAUGCAAAAACAAGUAGAUACGAGAUGACAAGAUAAAUUGGGGUGUAUAAAAAUAUAUUCAGAAGAUAAUUUUGUUUUUAAAAAAAUCAACUUUACUUUUUCUAAAUGUAGCAUCUGAUAAAAAAAAAAUAUUUUUUCAGGAAUGUACAACAGAUCUGACACACUUUUCUAAACUCUUUCAAGAUUAUGCCUGAGACUUCACAACAAAAGAACUGAGAAAUGCACAUUUAAGUCUGCCAACAGCUGAGAUUCAAGAAUAUUUCCCAAGGUGCAUACUGACUCCACAACGAACCACUGAGCCGAGCACAAGCAUACGACAGUGUCAAUUUAUUCAUAUUAGAUUUGACUUACUCCGUUGCAUAGGAGGUGUCAGCUUGGCUCAUGUUACAAUAAAUGAAAGAAAGUAGUCAGAGUUAAUGUCCAUGUCUUCAAAAACGAAUAGGUGACACAGCUGGAAACGCACACAAUGGAAAGUUCGGUUUGUGAAAUUUUUUCUUGUCAGGAGGAGGAUUGAUUGAUUGGAACAUAAAAAGGGACUAAACUUAAAAGUAAUAUUAAUUUGAACAGAUGGUGGAAUAACAAUAUGUGCAUUUCAGAUACCAUAAGUGUAAAAUUACAGAAAAAAAACUUUUGUCAUA